RNAcentral lists this long non-coding RNA (251 nucleotides) under Capsella rubella. RNAcentral's name for it is "long non-coding RNA (CRUB_LNC003891)". Lineage: Eukaryota; Viridiplantae; Streptophyta; Magnoliopsida; Brassicales; Brassicaceae. The record is from RNAcentral.
GGUUGAGAUAUCUUGUACUACUUUUUUUUUGUUUAGUAAGUUAUAUACCAUAUCCCACUGAUUUUUAUUUUAUUUUUUUUUAGUAUCAAAAGAGAGAAUGUCUCCAUUGAAUUCUAAGAGAAUGUAUUCACAGCUAGCUAAACUCUUUUUUUGUUGAUUGCCAUAAGCAUUGACACAUAAUUACUUCAUCUAAAACUUGGAAUUGUCAUAAUUAAGAAGUCAAGACUAUAUAAGAAUUUAGGGGUUAAACU